Molecule: long non-coding RNA, 1137 nt
Organism: Peromyscus leucopus (white-footed mouse)
Lineage: Eukaryota; Metazoa; Chordata; Mammalia; Rodentia; Cricetidae
Exons: 3
Source: RefSeq, a predicted model, not a curated record
UACAUUGUUUGGUUUUUCAGGCUGGAUUCUGAUGGAAUAGGGAGAAGAGACCAUAUCCAAGCCACCUGUAAUCUUAUAAUGGUCUGAUGGGGAGGUAAAGAGUUACAAUGUCAAAACUUCAAGCAGGGACCUAGCCAAAUGCCCAAGGGAAGCGCAUCUGGUCUCUGGAUUCACACAGGUGUACUUCCUAGCUCUACCCUGCUCCACCCACCUCUAUGGAGCCUCCACUCCAGGUACUUUCCCAACCUAGGUGUGUCUCCACACCCAAUACAAUCUCUAAGAGAUAGAACUGCUCGAUCAAAAGGCUACACUGACACUGAGCAAAUUCUUCACUGCUCGCUGACUCACCAGUGUUUGCUGCUCAGCUCCUGCUGCAGGAGACCCAGCCCCCGGGUGCGAUAAGAGGAUUUCCUGCCCUCCAUCUGACCCACCUACCCAGACCACUCACCCCGCCCCCACUGGACAGAUGCUUCAGUACUGCAGCUCCCUCCAAAGCUUGGCACCAAGGCCUAAAGAUCUCCUACUUAGCAGCCCAGAAAGGAAGAUCCAAUGCUUAGAUUCCUGAUUGUUCCUGGACCAGCUUACGGAGCCACAAUUUCAACCCAAUACGUCAUGGGUACUCUCAGCUGAACAACAGGAGCAAUGAUCCCUGGCCCAUGAAAGCUGACAAAUUCCAUUACAACUAGGUGAGCCAUUAGGGUACUAUUUAUAUAAGAUGGCAUGACUAACAAGCUAAAAGAACUAUCUUAGCCUUCCUCCAAAUACACAGUUACAGAGUAUUUACUCCUGCCUUCUACUGUAGAAACAUUUUCUCUCUCCUUCAUGUUCCUAAGGAAGAACCCCUCUUAACAUCCAAGCAUCAGGUAACGGGAUGUAAAGCAAACUCUCCUGGAAGCCUCUGUACAAUAAUGACAUAACCAAUCUUCUUCUAGCUCAAAGGUAUUUGAUCUAAACCACAUCCUAUGAAACUGAAAAACCAGACAAGACCAGAAUUCUUGGUUUCAAUUACUAUCACCCAAACAAUUUCCCUACGGUAAGAGCCAAUUUAGGAAGAAUUCGGGUUUCUAAGACAGAGACUAGAAAUGUUUGUGGUUUGUCUGUCUUUAUUUUACACACACACACACACACACACACACA